GACGAACGCUGGCGGCGUGCUUAACACAUGCAAGUCGAACGGAAAGGCCCUGCUUUUGUGGGGUGCUCGAGUGGCGAACGGGUGAGUAUCACGUGAGUAACCUGCCCUUGACUUUGGGAUAACUUCAGGAAACUGGGGCUCAUACCGGAUAGGAGCUCCUGCUGCAUGGUGGGGGUUGGAAAGUUUCGGCGGUUGGGGAUGGACUCGAGGCUUAUCAGCUUGUUGGUGGGGUAGUGGCUUACCAAGGCUUUGACGGAUAGCCGGCCUGGGAGGGUGAACGGCCACAAUGGGACUGAGAGACGGACCAGAAUCCUACGGGACGCAGCAGUGGAGAAUAUUGCAGAAUGGGCGGGAGCCUGAUGCAGCAACGCCGCGUGCGGGAUGACGGCCUUCGGGUUGUAAACCGCUUUCGCCUGAGACGAAGCGUGAGUGACGGUAAUGGGUAAAGAAGCACCGGCUAACUACGUG
Molecule: ribosomal RNA, 468 nt
Filed under: uncultured bacterium
Lineage: Bacteria
Description: partial 16S ribosomal RNA
Rfam family: Bacterial small subunit ribosomal RNA
Source: RNAcentral